AACGCACAUUGCGCCCGCCAGCAUUCUGGCGGGCAUGCCUGUUCGAGCGUCAUUUCAACCCUCGACUUCCCUUUGGGGAAAUCGGCGUUGGGGACCGGCCGUAUACCGCCGGCCCCGAAAUGAAGUGGCGGCCCGUCCGCGGCGACCUCUGCGUAGUAAUCCAACUCGCACCGGAACCCCGACGUGGCCACGCCGUAAAACCCCCGACUUCUGAACGUUGACCUCGGAUCAGGUAGGAAUACCCGCUGAACUUAA
This 255-nucleotide unclassified non-coding RNA is filed under the name Cordyceps sp. RNAcentral describes it as "partial contains 5.8S ribosomal RNA, internal transcribed spacer 2, and large subunit ribosomal RNA". The record is from RNAcentral. Lineage: Eukaryota; Fungi; Ascomycota; Sordariomycetes; Hypocreales; Cordycipitaceae. RNAcentral also lists the same sequence under 2 other names.